Long non-coding RNA from Wasmannia auropunctata (little fire ant), 920 nucleotides. RefSeq lists it as uncharacterized. The record is from RefSeq and is a predicted model, not a curated record. The transcript is spliced from 3 exons. Lineage: Eukaryota; Metazoa; Arthropoda; Insecta; Hymenoptera; Formicidae.
UCAGUCUCGAUUCGAACGUACACAUUGAACGUACAACCGUACAUAUUGAUUACAACGUGCUUGUUAACUAUUCGACCAUGUGGGGAAACUUGUGUCUUUUUGGCGUAUUUAUUAUGUAUAUCAUUCUGUAUUUACAUGAUAUACAUAAUUUCAAAACGAGUAAAGAAAUAAUUUUAUAAUAUUUAGUGACAUAUCUGUCUUGUACGUUACAUUUUUAAGAGAAAUAUCAUACGAUGGAGGAUUACACAAGAAUAUCCAUGCCUGAAUACAUUAUAACUGGAUUUUUUGAUUGACAAGUUUUCUCGAUACUUUCUUAGCAGCAUUAUUAAACCAGCAUUGAAGUAAAUCGAUGUGAAAAUGCAUUCGAAAACACUAUCCGUAUGACCUGUACGAACUUGUGACAACAAAAUUUAAAUCUGGACAAAGGCUUGCGCGUAAAAAGGUCAGCUGAACUAAAUAAGUGACAAAAGCUUGCAACCUAUAUUUUGACGAUUUGAUAAGGGAAUAUGUCCAUGUGCUACCUCGACGCUUUAGAAUGACGACAGAAAAAAGUGAAAAAUUGAAAUGUAAUAUUAAUCGAGCGUACGCAUCACGGGCGUACACAUCAAUUUUGAAUCUGAGUUGUUAUCUCUAACUGGUACAACAAAAUUGUGCUUUAUCUCUGCCAUUAUUCUUUGCCACAUUUUUAUCUUCUUUACAACUAGUAGGUACUUAUUAUCGAUGAUUCCUGCACAAUUUUCCGUUUUCAUUUGUGUAAAUAUAAUAAAUUAUUCUUGCUUACGUGUCAUAAUAAAAAAUGUCAUCACAUUGCCGUUAUAUUAUCGCGUCAGGCUAUAUAAUGUCAGACUAUCGGAUUUAUCUCACAUAUUUUGUUUCUAUCCAAUUAAUGUAAUUGUAUAAUAAUAUUUAAAAUGGUUUUA